This 481-nucleotide ribosomal RNA is filed under the name uncultured soil bacterium. RNAcentral's name for it is "bacterial SSU rRNA". It matches the Rfam family "Bacterial small subunit ribosomal RNA", at positions 27 to 528 of the family's 1533-position model. The record is from RNAcentral.
UGGACGAACGCUGGCGGCGUGCUUAACACAUGCAAGUCGAGCGGAAAGGCCAUUUCGGUGGUACUCGAGCGGCGAACGGGUGAGUAACACGUGAGUAAUCUGCCCCCUGGCUUUGGGAUAGCCACCGGAAACGGUGAUUAAUACCGGAUACGACCCGCCCUCGCAUGGGGGUGUGUGGAAAGUUUUUCGGCCAGGGAUGUGCUCGCGGCCUAUCAGCUUGAUGGUGGGGUAAUGGCUCACCAUGGCUUCGACGGGUAGCCGGCCUGAGAGGGUGACGGUCACGCUGGACUAGAGACACGGCCAGACUCCACGGAGGCAGCAGGUGGGAAUAUUGGACAAUGGGACGGAAGCUGAUCAGCAACGCGCGUGAGGAUGACGGCUCGGUAGUAACCUCGUUCAGUACCGACGAGACGGAAGUGACGGUAGUACGAGAAGAGACACCGCCGAACUACGCCGACCAGCGACGACCGCGGUAAUACGU